RNAcentral lists this long non-coding RNA (831 nucleotides) under Callithrix jacchus (white-tufted-ear marmoset). Its description in RNAcentral is "lncRNA (ENSCJAG00000070415.1)". The record is from RNAcentral. Lineage: Eukaryota; Metazoa; Chordata; Mammalia; Primates; Cebidae.
UGAUCACGCCACUGCAUGCCAGCCUGAGUGACCGAGCAACAGAGUGAGACACCAUCUCUUACAGAAAGGAAAAAAAAAAAAAAAAAAGCGGGGGGAGGGAGAGAGAGAUACACAUUAGUCUAAAGUGGAUUUUGUUGGGUCUUCUUAUCUAAGCUGGAAAUACAUUAUGCAUAAUUCACUUUCCUGCAGCGUUCUGGAUUAGAGUCAGCCACCAGAGGCGUGCAUGCAUUACGAUUUGGAAGGCAGAAGUACACCGGCACUUAUUUUCCUGUCACACUCGAAUGCUGGUGCGAGGCACCAGGCAUACUGCGGCUGUUCAAGCAUAUUGACGCCGAUAUUCUGACUCCUUGUGGAAAUGGAGCCGCAUCCUGCCUUGCAGAGCAUCAGCCAGAUCUUGUUUUUUUACUUUCUCGGAAUCAUGCAGGCAGGUGCGGCUGCUGGAGCAGGGAAUGGGCCUGCCGUUUAUUUAGCCCCUAUCAGCUUCCUAGCUCCAGCUGCUCUAAUUGCAGGGCUAGGCGUAUGUUUAGCUCUAUGGCAAGAGCCUCCAGCUUCUCCUGCAUAUCUCAAACCUCAUCAAAAGCUGGCAGCUUGGAGGUAGUGAGACACAGAGGAGAGAUCCAGUUCAUCAAGAAUUGUAAGGAAACUGGAUAUCUUGGCUGCUGGAAAGAGGAUAUUUGAGGAGGUAAUUUUUAUCCCCAUCUGUAUCAACAUUGGCUUCAUUUUUCUUCUAUAGCAAGAUUUCUACAUAAUAUGAUGAGACUCAUUGAAAGUAAGAAGGUGAAAAAAAAUUCAUAGAAACAAACACUGUAGAACUUGAUAUCACCAUCUCAA